GGCGGCAGGCUUACACAUGCAAGUCGAACGCCCCGCAAGGGGAGUGGCAGACGGGUGAGUAACGCGUGGGAAUCUACCGUGCCCUGCGGAAUAGCUCCGGGAAACUGGAAUUAAUACCGCAUACGCCCUACGGGGGAAAGAUUUAUCGGGGUAUGAUGAGCCCGCGUUGGAUUAGCUAGUUGGUGGGGUAAAGGCCUACCAAGGCGACGAUCCAUAGCUGGUCUGAGAGGAUGAUCAGCCACAUUGGGACUGAGACACGGCCCAAACUCCUACGGGAGGCAGCAGUGGGGAAUAUUGGACAAUGGGCGCAAGCCUGAUCCAGCCAUGCCGCGUGAGUGAUGAAGGCCUUAGGGUUGUAAAGCUCUUUCACCGGUGAAGAUAAUGACGGUAACCGGAGAAGAAGCCCCGGCUAACUUCGUGCCAGCAGCCGCGGUAAUACGAAGGGGGCUAGCGUUGUUCGGAAUUACUGGGCGUAAAGCGCACGUAGGCGGAUAUUUAAGUCAGGGGUGA
RNAcentral lists this ribosomal RNA (510 nucleotides) under Rhizobium sp. EpR45. Its description in RNAcentral is "bacterial SSU rRNA". It matches the Rfam family "Bacterial small subunit ribosomal RNA", at positions 38 to 597 of the family's 1533-position model. Lineage: Bacteria; Pseudomonadati; Pseudomonadota; Alphaproteobacteria; Hyphomicrobiales; Rhizobiaceae. The record is from RNAcentral.